GGUAGCGUGACCUCACUGAUGCAACGUCACUUGGCAGGGUUCGUCACCACGCCUCAGUCCACGUAGUGGGGAUUUUUGGUGCAUGAUGAUGGCCUUUAUUUAUCCAUGUAACAGGUUUGGCAAGAAAAGAAAAAGAGGAGAUGUUAAUAGAUCAAGUCUAAUAUAUUGUUUGAGAAAAUGAAUAUUUACACCGUCAUAAUGGAGAACACCGAUUCUGAGAAAGAAAGCAGUUGCUCCUUGAAGACUAAAAACAAACAUAAUUUCCUGGGGCACAAAAGGUGGGGCAAUAAAACAAGGUCUAUUCAAAAGAUUUAUCUUUUAUGCAGCGUGUUGACAUUAAUGUCUUGUCCCUGUUUUCACAUUGCAGGGGGAAUUAUGCAGCCCAAGCGUGGUAAUGAUGAUAACUGCAGCUUUUUAUUGACACUUGGAACACCAUUCCCCAUCAGCUCACAUGCGAUAGAGGCUCCUUUGUUGGAAAACAGCAACAAGUACAAUCUUUAAUCACAUGACUAUCCAAAGUCAGCAGAUUCUCUUAUGAGUCUUUUCUCAUCAGACCUAGCCAUUUCCUGGAUACAUUUUGUUCAUGAUGGAAAACUGAGUGAAAACUAA
Oreochromis niloticus (Nile tilapia) is the source of this 609-nucleotide long non-coding RNA. RefSeq lists it as uncharacterized. The transcript has 2 exons. The record is from RefSeq and is a predicted model, not a curated record. NCBI's taxonomy places the organism in Eukaryota, Metazoa, Chordata, Actinopteri, Cichliformes, Cichlidae.